CACUGUGUGGCUGUGUCCGAAUUCAGGGGAAGGAUGCUUAAAAUGCCAUAUUUGGAUGCAAUGAUGUCACAGCGACGCGACGAGGGCUGUCCGAAUUCAAAGAGCACUCAUAAUGUGGCGACAAAUGCGUCCUACUUUUCAGCGAAUUUGAGGCUUAGCUGUGUCCGAAUUCAAAGGAAGGAUGCUUCAAUGCCAUAUUUGGAGGCAAUGACGUCACGGCGCCGCGACGAAGGGUGUCCGAAUUCAAAGAGUACUCAAAAUGUGGCGACAAAUGUGUCCUACUUUUCCCCAAAUUCUAAGGAUGGUCCGAUGUAUCCUUCAUGUCCUACUAUAUCCCAGGAUUCAUUCCCUGGUCAUAGAGGAGAUUUGUUUCUGAUAACGAUGGUGUUCGAAGCAGGAGAGGAAAACACUUUCAAAUGACAAUUCUGGAGAAGAUGGACCUGCAGGGGAAAGUCACCCCCUUGCAGGCCAGAAGACAUGAGAUAACUUUAAAGAAUACAAAGAUUGCAAGUAUCCAGGCUCAGGAGAGGGGGUCAGUGGGAAGCCCACUGCUGCUACUUGGCCCUGGUUUGCCCUCAUGGAUGAGGUGAUAGGACAGAUGCCUUCCAUUAAGCCUCUUUUCCUAAUUUCCUCUCUCCCUGAGGACACUCCAGGGCCAAGCGCAGCAGUAGCUGACCAAAACGACAAAGCGGCUCAGCCACCUACGACACGGAGAAAGAAGAAAGGAGACAGGGAUGAUGAGCUGCUCAACAGAGAGGACAUGAGGCAGUAAAGAGAGGCUGAGGAGAGGAGAGCAGGGAGAGGAUGGACAGACUGUUUUCACUUCUAGAAAGAUUAGUUUCCAAAUGA
This is a long non-coding RNA of Pelmatolapia mariae (spotted tilapia), 849 nucleotides long. RefSeq lists it as uncharacterized. The record is from RefSeq and is a predicted model, not a curated record. NCBI's taxonomy places the organism in Eukaryota, Metazoa, Chordata, Actinopteri, Cichliformes, Cichlidae. The transcript is spliced from 3 exons.